GGCCGGCGCUCUUCUCGGCUCACGCAGUCGGUUGAGGGCUUGGUCAUCCGUAUGGGAAGCUAGCUCGGCCUUUACUGGUCGGUUAGUGGAUCAUACACUUUACUUUGAAAAAAUUAGAGUGUUUCAGGCAGGCAAUUGCUUGGAUACUGCAGCAUGGAAUAAUGGAAUAGGACUUUGACCUAUUUGUUGGUUUCUUCGAGGUCAAAGUA
Molecule: ribosomal RNA, 209 nt
Filed under: uncultured fungus
Lineage: Eukaryota; Fungi
Description: partial small subunit ribosomal RNA
Rfam family: Eukaryotic small subunit ribosomal RNA (bases 83-209)
Source: RNAcentral